Molecule: ribosomal RNA, 1861 nt
Filed under: Bubalus bubalis (water buffalo)
Lineage: Eukaryota; Metazoa; Chordata; Mammalia; Artiodactyla; Bovidae
Description: bacterial LSU rRNA
Rfam family: Bacterial large subunit ribosomal RNA
Source: RNAcentral
AACACACAUGGGAAACCCCAUGUAUCGUAUAGUGAAUACAUAGCUAUACGAGGGUAAACCUAGGGAACUGAAACAUCUAAGUACCUGGAGGAAAGGACAUCAACCGAGACUCCGCUAGUAGUGGCGAGCGAACGCGGACCAGGCCAGUCAUGAAUGUAAGCCAACCAGAACCUGUCAGGAAAGCAGGGCCUCAGAGGGUGAUAGCCCCGUAUGGGUAAUGCGAACAUUCAUGCUCGAGUAAGGCGGGACACGUGCAAUCCUGUCUGAACAUGGGGGGACCACCCUCCAAGCCUAAGUACUCCUCAGCGACCGAUAGUGAACCAGUACCGUGAGGGAAAGGUGAAAAGCACCCCGACGAGGGGAGUGAAAUAGACCUGAAACCGGACACCUACAAACAGACGGAGCCCAAGAUGCGUUCUGGGUGACGUCGUACCUUUUGUAUUAUGGGCCAGCGACUUAAUUUAACGAGCAAGCUUAAGCCGAUAGGCGUAGGCGUAGCGAAAGCGAGUCUGAAUAGGGCGUCAAGUUCGUUGUAUUAGACCCGAAACCUAGUGAUCUAGCCAUGAGCAGGUUGAAGGUGAGGUAACACUCACUGGAGGACCGAACGGGUGCCUGUUGAAAAAGGCUCCGAUGACUUGUGGUUAGGGGUGAAAGGCCAAUCAAACUGGGAAAUAGCUGGUUCUCCGCGAAAGAUAUUUAGGUAUCGCCUCGGACGAAUACCUCAGGGGGUAGAGCACUGGAUGGGCUAGGGGGACUUACCGUCUUACCAAACCCAACCAAACUCCGAAUACCUGAGAGUACUAUCCGGGAGUCACACGGCGGGUGCUAACGUCCGUCGUGGAGAGGGAAACAACCCUGACCUACAGCUAAGGCCCCCAAUUCGUGGCUAAGUGGGAAAGGAUGUGGAAAUCCCAAAACAACCAGGAGGUUGGCUUAGAAGCAGCCAUCCUUUAAAGAAAGCGUAACAGCUCACUGGUCUAAAUAAGGGUUUCUGCGCCGAAGAUGUAACGGGGCUCAAGCCACGAGCCGAAGCUUAGGGUGCAUCGCAAGAUGCGCGGUAGCGGAGCGUUCUGUAAGCCUGCGAAGGGCGACCCGUGAGGGCGCCUGGAGGUAUCAGAAGUGCGAAUGCUGGCAUGAGUAACGACAAACACUGUGAAAGACAGUGUCGCCGAAAGUCCAAGGGUUCCUGCGUAAAGUUAAUCUUCGCAGGGUUAGCCGGUCCCUAAGGCGAGGCCGACAGGCGUAGUCGAUGGGAAUGCAGUGAAUAUUCUGCAGCCAGUGGAUGGUGACGAAUUGCGUAUGUUGUCUGACCUUACUGGAUUGGUCGGGCCUCGAAGCAGUUCCAGGAAAUAGCCUCCACAUUAGACCGUACCCGAAACCGACACAGGUGGACUGGUAGAGUAUACCAAGGCGCUUGAGAGAACUAUGUUGAAGGAACUCGGCAAUUUACCUCCGUAACUUCGGGAUAAGGAGGCCCAUUGCUCGCGCAAGCGGGCAGUGGGGGCACAGACCAGGGGGUGGCAACUGUUUAACAAAAACACAGGGCUCUGCGAAAUCGUAAGAUGACGUAUAGGGUCUGACGCCUGCCCGGUGCCGGAAGGUUAAGAGGAGAGGUGCAAGCCUUGAAUCGAAGCCCCGGUAAACGGCGGCCGUAACUAUAACGGUCCUAAGGUAGCGAAAUUCCUUGUCGGGUAAGUUCCGACCUGCACGAAUGGCGUAACGACUUCCCUGCUGUCUCAACCACAGGCCCGGUGAAAUUGCACUACGAGUAAAGAUGCUCGUUACGCGCGGCAGGACGAAAAGACCCCGGGACCUUCACUAUAGCUUGGUAUUGGUGUUUGGUUCGGUUUGUGUAGGAUAG